UGUCAAGGCUAUGAUUAAAUGAGUUUUUGAGUAAAAGAGCAGGGGAGGAAAAACAACAAUGAGUAAACUUGGACUAUCCGCAGGGCGUCCCAGCGAGAACCGGAAGAAGCAAGCACUGGCCGCCGUUACCGACGAAGGACGCACAGUGCGAGUGAAUUUCGACCUGAGCGACAACGAGCACAUGCGACUGAAAAUAUUCAUACAAGCUUUCGCCUUAAGAUGAGCCCAUGGCCCAUCAGCUAGUUGGUAGGGUAAAGGCCUACCAAGGCUACGACGGGUCGCUGGUCUGAGAGGACGACCAGCCACACUGGCACUGAGAUACGGGCCAGACUCCUACGGGAGGCAGCAGUGAGGAAUAUUGCGCAAGUGGGGGAAACCCUGACGCAGCAACGCCGCGU
RNAcentral lists this ribosomal RNA (398 nucleotides) under uncultured bacterium. RNAcentral's name for it is "bacterial SSU rRNA". It matches the Rfam family "Bacterial small subunit ribosomal RNA", at positions 160 to 402 of the family's 1533-position model. The record is from RNAcentral.